GGGGGACGCAGUAGGAUAGGCGAAGCGUGCGAUUGGAUUGCACGUCUAAGCAGUAAGGCUGAGUAUUAGGCAAAUCCGGUACUCAUUAAGGCUGAGCUGUGAUGGGGAGAAGACAUUGUGUCUUCGAGUCGUUGAUUUCACACUGCCGAGAAAAGCCUCUAGAUAGAAAAUAGGUGCCCGUACCGCAAACCGACACAGGUAGUCAAGAUGAGAAUUCUAAGGUGAGCGAGCGAACUCUCGUUAAGGAACUCGGCAAAAUGACCCCGUAACUUCGGGAGAAGGGGUGCUCUUUAGGGUUAACGCCCAGAAGAGCCGCAGUGAAUAGGCCCAAGCGACUGUUUAUCAAAAACACAGGUCUCUGCUAAACCGUAAGGUGAUGUAUAGGGGCUGACGCCUGCCCGGUGCUGGAAGGUUAAGAGGAGUGGUUAGCUUCUGCGAAGCUACGAAUCGAAGCCCCAGUAAACGGCGGCCGUAACUAUAACGGUCCUAAGGUAGCGAAAUUCCUUGUCGGGUAAGUUCCGACCCGCACGAAAGGCGUAACGAUUUGGGCACUGUCUCAACGAGAGACUCGGUGAAAUCAUAGUACCUGUGAAGAUGCAGGUUACCCGCGACAGGACGGAAAGACCCCGUGGAGCUUUACUGUAGCCUGAUAUUGAAAUUCGGCACAGCUUGUACAGGAUAGGUAGGAGCCUUUGAAACGUGAGCGCUAGCUUACGUGGAGGCGCUGGUGGGAUACUACCCUAGCUGUGUUGGCUUUCUAACCCGCACCACUUAUCGUGGUGGGAGACAGUGUCAGGCGGGCAGUUUGACUGGGGCGGUCGCCUCCUAAAAGGUAACGGAGGCGCUCAAAGGUUCCCUCAGAAUGGUUGGAAAUCAUUCAUAGAGUGUAAAGGCAUAAGGGAGCUUGACUGCGAGACCUACAAGUCGAGCAGGGUCGAAAGACGGACUUAGUGAUCCGGUGGUUCCGCAUGGAAGGGCCAUCGCUCAACGGAUAAAAGCUACCCCGGGGAUAACAGGCUUAUCUCCCCCAAGAGUUCACAUCGACGGGGAGGUUUGGCACCUCGAUGUCGGCUCAUCGCAUCCUGGGGCUGUAGUCGGUCCCAAGGGUUGGGCUGUUCGCCCAUUAAAGCGGUACGCGAGCUGGGUUCAGAACGUCGUGAGACAGUUCGGUCCCUAUCCGUCGUGGGCGUAGGAAAUUUGAGAGGAGCUGUCCUUAGUACGAGAGGACCGGGAUGGACAUACCUCUGGUGUACCAGUUGUCGUGCCAACGGCAUAGCUGGGUAGCUAUGUGUGGACGGGAUAAGUGCUGAAAGCAUCUAAGCAUGAAGCCCCCCUCAAGAUGAGAUUUCCCAACUUCGGUUAUAAGAUCCCUCAAAGAUGAUGAGGUUAAUAGGUUCGAGGUGGAAGCAUGGUGACAUGUGGAGCUGACGAAUACUAAUCGAUCGAAGACUUAAUCAA
This 1458-nucleotide ribosomal RNA is filed under the name Staphylococcus aureus. Its description in RNAcentral is "bacterial LSU rRNA". It matches the Rfam family "Bacterial large subunit ribosomal RNA", at positions 1467 to 2925 of the family's 2925-position model. The record is from RNAcentral. Lineage: Bacteria; Bacillati; Bacillota; Bacilli; Caryophanales; Staphylococcaceae.